GAAAUUUAAUCCAUAAUAGGUGACUUAAAUCUUAAUAGGGAAUUAGGUUAAAAUCCUAAGCUACCCCAGUAACCGUAAUACUGACGAAAUUCAUUAAAUUUGCCACUGCAUUAUAUGCGGGAAGGUUUGGAGAGUAGGAUGAAGUAAAGCCGGGAGACCUGCCUACUAUGUAGAAAAUAU
This is a regulatory RNA element of Clostridium celatum DSM 1785, 180 nucleotides long. The record is from Rfam. Lineage: Bacteria; Bacillati; Bacillota; Clostridia; Eubacteriales; Clostridiaceae.